Cololabis saira (Pacific saury) is the source of this 1550-nucleotide long non-coding RNA. RefSeq lists it as uncharacterized. The record is from RefSeq and is a predicted model, not a curated record. NCBI's taxonomy places the organism in Eukaryota, Metazoa, Chordata, Actinopteri, Beloniformes, Belonidae. The transcript is spliced from 3 exons.
UCACUCAGCGUUUGUCUGUCUGUAUGAACUGCCUGAGAAAAGGCUAGACAUGGAAUUAAACACUGACGAGGGAAAGGUGGAGGAGAAAAUCACCAGACCUAAAUGCAAACAUGGGAUGACUGCACUCCUCCAUCAUCUUGUCCCCCUGCUCCUGGAAGGUGAUGAUGAUGAGAGCCACAAAAAUAUUGACAAAGAAGAAAGGAAAGACGACAAAAUAGAUGACAUAGAAGAUUGACAUCUCCAUCCUGUUGCCGUGGCUUGGACCUCUGUCCUCUUCUGUCACAUCCACGGAGUGCUGCAGGACCCUAGCAGAGCAGAGUAGAAGUCAGUUAACAAGGAUUGGACCUGGACAAACCUACAAGCACCACCAGGGGAAUAUUAACAAGCAAACUUAUGGACAGAUAAUGACAUUCAAAAUCUGUUUUGAAUGAAUCCCACCUUUCAUAUUUCCCUCAUCAAAGGUCAGAUUUGACCUUUACCAAAGAGAAAGACAGAUGUUGAACGGUUAUGACCCCUCUAAUGACCCCUCUAAGAGAGGAAAGUGAUAUUUUGCAAAGCUCCCCAUCAGUUUUAUCAGCCAGCAUGAGAACCGGCCUGACUCCAGUCUGACACUCACUGAGGCCAUCCCUCUCCAGUGGAGACCGUGAACAGCGUUAGCAAAGCCCAGAUGACGUUGUCGUAAUGAAACUCGUGCCUCUUCCAGUCUCUUUUCUUUACCUCUUUCUUAUCCUUCCCGUAAUCAAUGUAGUAACCCCUGGAAGGGGGGAAAAAAGAAGACAAGAAUUGUACAAACGUUACAUCAUCAUUACUUAAACCAUUAAAAGCAAAAGGCAUAAAUGUGCACACUCAACAAAAAAGGAAUGAAGAAAAAAAGAAAAACUAACAGGGUAAAGAAAGAAGAAACAAAUCAUAAACAGAAAAAAUAAAUGAAAUUAAAUCAGAAGGAUCAGAUUGAAAUCUAGUCAAAGUUCAAAAAGUAUGUAGGAAGAAGAAAAAAAUCAAGGUAAGAUUACUGGCAAUCUUUCUGUGUGUCCUUUGAACUGUCAGUACAGUAGAAAAACUUCCCCUUAAAGAGUUGCACAGCGAUGACGGCAAAGAUGAACAUGAAAAGUUUGUAGACAAUCAAGAUGUUGAAGACGUUCUUAAGAGACGUCACUACACAGUCGAACACCGCCUGGAGGAGAAAAAGACACAACAAACACUCGUUUCAGGUUUCUUCGGAGAUGCAUCAGGGUUUGCACUCAACAUGUAAAUGUUGAGUGCAAACCCUGCAAGUCUUUGGUUGAUGAUUCCUUUAUUUUAUUAAAUUAUGAUGUCAUCACAUAGGAAUUUAGCAAACUGGUUUGAAUAUUUGUGGGGAUAUCAAACAUCUGUGUUAUCUCAAACUAUUAGCAAAAGAUAACUAACUUUAAAUUUUGUUUUGUUUCUUUUGCAUAGCUUUUAAUUAUUUUUUAAUUAUAUCAACUAAAACCAUUGAGAAUAGUAAUCUAAUCAAAUACCGUACAUUAUCAAUAUGAAGAAAGGGUUUGUCCUUUGAUUAAAAUGAGAUG